GUGAAAAACUUUUUGCAAUAGGUAUCAGUCUGAGAGGAGUGUAAGAACCAAAUGGUCGAGAAGAGCUAGCCAUGAAAAUCAGAGGGAAAGUUUAGACAAGGUGAUUAGUUGGAUAUUUUGUAGUCUAGUGAAGUGAUUGGGAAUGAGAUUGAUGUCUCAUUUUAUAUGUUAGACAUUGUACUUAUACUUUGAGAACUAAUUUUUUAGCCUUAAAAGUUACAGUUCUGGGAGACU
This 234-nucleotide unclassified non-coding RNA is filed under the name Hevea brasiliensis (rubber tree). The record is from RNAcentral. Lineage: Eukaryota; Viridiplantae; Streptophyta; Magnoliopsida; Malpighiales; Euphorbiaceae.